RNAcentral lists this ribosomal RNA (447 nucleotides) under uncultured bacterium. RNAcentral describes it as "bacterial SSU rRNA". It matches the Rfam family "Bacterial small subunit ribosomal RNA", at positions 331 to 794 of the family's 1533-position model. The record is from RNAcentral.
CCAGACUCCUACGGGAGGCAGCAGUGGGGAAUAUUGCACAAUGGGGGAAACCCUGAUGCAGCGACGCCGCGUGGGCGACGAAGCGCUCCGGCGCGUAAAGCCCUGUCAGCAGGGAAGAACAAAGACAGUACCUGACCAAGAAGCCCCGGCUAACUACGUGCCAGCAGCCGCGGUAAUACGUAGGGGGCAAGCGUUAUCCGGAUUCACUGGGCGUAAAGGGAGCGCAGGCGGCACGGCAAGUCUGGUGUGAAAGCCCGGGGCCCAACCCCGGGACUGCAUUGGGAACUGGCGCGCUGGAGUGCCGGAGGGGUAGGCGGAAUUCCUAGUGUAGCGGUGAAAUGCGUAGAUAUUAGGAGGAACACCAGUGGCGAAGGCGGCCUACUGGACGGUGACUGACGCUGAGGCUCGAAAGCGUGGGGAGCAAACAGGAUUAGAUACCCGAGUAAA